GUCAAUCCAUAUCUGCCAAGUGACCCUAUGUAGGGGGAACAAUCCCUAUUCUGCUCUGUGUCAGUGUUUAUCAGGGAUCCUUAGGAUAGGUGUCAAUCCAUAUCUGCCAAGUGACCCUAUGUAGGGGGAACAGUCCCUAUUCUGCUCUGUGUCAGUGUGUAUCAGGGAUCCUGAGGAUAGGUGUCAAUCCAUAUCUGCCAAGUGACCCUAUGUAGG
This 216-nucleotide long non-coding RNA is filed under the name Pelobates cultripes (western spadefoot toad). Lineage: Eukaryota; Metazoa; Chordata; Amphibia; Anura; Pelobatidae. The record is from RNAcentral.